CAGUAGCCGCGGUAAGACGAACCGUGCGAACGUUAUUCGGAAUCACUGGGCUUAAAGCGCGUGUAGGCGGAUGGGAGCGUCGGCCUCUGAAAUCCCCCGGCUCAACCGGGGAAGUGGAGCCGAAACGACCCGUCUGGAGGGACGUAGGGGGACCUGGAACUUCCGGUGGAGCGGUGAAAUGCGUUGAGAUCGGAAGGAACGCCCGUGGCGAAAGCGAGGUCCUGGACGUCUGCUGACGCUGAGACGCGAAAGCCAGGGGAGCGAACGGGAUUAGAUACCCCCGUAGUCCCUGUCUCUUAUA
RNAcentral lists this ribosomal RNA (301 nucleotides) under uncultured bacterium. Its description in RNAcentral is "partial 16S ribosomal RNA". It matches the Rfam family "Bacterial small subunit ribosomal RNA", at positions 509 to 807 of the family's 1533-position model. The record is from RNAcentral.